AUUGAACGCUGGCGGCAUGCUUUACACAUGCAAGUCGAACGGCAGCACGGGCUUCGGCCUGGUGGCGAGUGGCGAACGGGUGAGUAAUAUAUCGGAGCGUACCCAGAAGUGGGGGAUAACGUAGCGAAAGUUACGCUAAUACCGCAUACGAUCUAUGGAUGAAAGCAGGGGACCGCAAGGCCUUGUGCUCCUUGAGCGGCCGAUAUCUGAUUAGCUAGUUGGUGAGGUAAAGGCUCACCAAGGCGACGAUCAGUAGCUGGUCUGAGAGGACGACCAGCCACACUGGAACUGAGACACGGUCCAGACUCCUACGGGAGGCAGCAGUGGGGAAUUUUGGACAAUGGGCGCAAGCCUGAUCCAGCAAUGCCGCGUGAGUGAAGAAGGCCUUCGGGUUGUAAAGCUCUUUUGUCAGGGAAGAAACGGUAGAGGCUAAUAUCCUUUGCUAAUGACGGUACCUGAAGAAUAAGCACCGGCUAACUACGUG
RNAcentral lists this ribosomal RNA (484 nucleotides) under uncultured bacterium. Its description in RNAcentral is "partial 16S ribosomal RNA". It matches the Rfam family "Bacterial small subunit ribosomal RNA", at positions 30 to 507 of the family's 1533-position model. The record is from RNAcentral.